Otolemur garnettii (small-eared galago) is the source of this 1397-nucleotide RNA transcript. RefSeq lists it as uncharacterized. Lineage: Eukaryota; Metazoa; Chordata; Mammalia; Primates; Galagidae. The record is from RefSeq and is a predicted model, not a curated record. The transcript is spliced from 2 exons.
AGUUAAAACUGAGGCGCGAGAGGGUGGGUGGGUUUGAGAUCCCACAGCUUGGCAGGAGCGCACCCAGGCCUGCUGCUUCUACCCGUGAACACAGGUCAAGGGAAACAAACACUAAUGGAGGCCAUGUGGGCUGGAUGUUAGAACAUGUCAUGACACUACAUGUGGGACCCAACAAAUGGGGUGAGUAGGGAGUAGGGCAGACGCCCAACUACCUCCCAGUUUCCGAGCUCGGGAGCUAAGUUGCUCACGGUGCUGACCUGGGGAAUGCCGGGAAGGCGUGCGAGCGCCGAGCCCAGCGCUCUCCUCCCCCAGCUGCACAGCCUUCGGCUGCCCUCUGCCGCCACGGGAAAGGCUUUGCAAGCCUGGUCGCCCUUGCCCUCGCACCGCCCACCUCUCGCCUCCAGAUUGGCGGCUCCAGUAGGCUCCGGCCCCGCCCAUUUCCCCGGGUCCUUUGAUCACGCGCCUGCCGGCUCUUCCGGAGUCCCGGAGCCAACCGAGGGCGUUCCUGUCCGGGCUGCAGCGGUGGGAGGUAAGGCAUGGCCGCUGGGCAGCAGAGCGCCGGCACGGGUCCACGCCUCGGGGUGCCGGGAUUCCAAGAUGUCCAGGCGCAGGGCGGCCUCUCCGCGAUCCCCCAACAUUACCCCACCCCUGGGCUGAGCCUCCCAGCGCCGUGGAAACUACCUCCUGUCUGUCGUUGGUGGCCCGCAUCCUAGAAGCGGCCUGACGCCCUCCCCACCCUGGCAUGCCCCCUCGACCUGGGACGGGAGCCCACUGGAGGCGCCCUCCCGAAGUACCACUGCCCAUGCUGACCACUCAGCCCUCCACCUGCGGAUGUCAUGAGUAACACCACAGUACCUAAUGCCCCCCAGGCCAACAGCGACUCCAUGGUGGGCUAUGUAUUGGGGCCUUUCUUCCUCAUCACCCUGGUCGGGGUGGUGGUGGCUGUGGUAAGGAACCCCCACAUACACACAUACACACCCUUGCUACAGUAGGGUCUGGGUGGGCCUGAUCUGGUCUGCACAGUCUCAGCUGUUCUGUGAAGGGGGUGGAGGUGGGUCCCGUUUGGCUGUGGUGGGCCUUCACAGGCUCAGCAGCCUCCACAGUGCUGUCUCUGUUCCAGGUGAUGUAUGUACAGAAGAAGCAACGGUAAGUAUUCCACUACCCCCAACUCCACCUGCGUUCUGCUGAAGUUUCUUCCAGUAGGAUCCAAGUUCUCUGAGCACGUUAGGGGGUCCCUCAGCCAUCCUGCUACAAGCUUGAAACGUUUCCCUUGCCAGUCUGUUUCUUUACUGGGGAGAAGCCUCUUUACAGAAUCAGGAGUGGAGACCAGGCAGUCAAGGAUACCUGGGCUGAGCCCCCUUGUUCCUCCCCAGGGUGGACCGUCUUCGCCAUCACCU